Molecule: long non-coding RNA, 685 nt
Organism: Sander lucioperca (pikeperch)
Lineage: Eukaryota; Metazoa; Chordata; Actinopteri; Perciformes; Percidae
Exons: 2
Source: RefSeq, a predicted model, not a curated record
UGGUGUCGAGUAACCAAAGGUCAAAGUAAAGACAAGUGAAUGAAAACGGAAGGAAACUUAACAGGCUGCACGAAAUGGGACAGAACAUCACCAAAUCCACUCAUACGUCAACCAAAUCAUUGCAGUGGGUGUCGAAUAAUCGUUUUAUUCGCCGGAAAAAAAACAAGACUGCAGACAAUAUGACACUGGGAUCUGGAUUCACUACGGACAUCAUCUACAGUGGGAGUCGGUGUGUUACCUUGGUCAGAUGGCCAUUUUCUUUCCAUGCUGUUUCCUGCCCUUACUGAGUUACACCCACGGGUAGAAGCCCGCACAGUUUUUAGCAUGCUUGAUAGGAAUAUCUUAAGAUGAGGGAGGGCCUUCAACCUUUGAGCCCUGUUCCUGCUGACUGGAUUUGCCAUUACUUCAACAUUGUGACUAUGUCUCUGGCUGGCCACAUUAUCAUCUGUGACUGAUGUUACAAAUGCACAAGGUAGUUUGGGGCUGUAAACAUCCCCGACUGGAAGCUGUCUAUCUUGCAGAGCUUUCAGUCUGAUGUUUGCUGCUGCCGACUGCCUCCAGCGCCACAGAAAUGGAAGAGUUAGGUAUAUGUGCCGUGUCCAUUUUAUCUGACCUGCUACUUUAAAAUGCAGACGUAAUUGUGUGGUAGAGUUGUAUUAGAGCUGGGCGAUAUGAAAAAGAAAAA